RNAcentral lists this ribosomal RNA (725 nucleotides) under Francisella endosymbiont of Dermacentor variabilis. Its description in RNAcentral is "bacterial SSU rRNA". It matches the Rfam family "Bacterial small subunit ribosomal RNA", at positions 250 to 962 of the family's 1533-position model. The record is from RNAcentral. Lineage: Bacteria; Pseudomonadati; Pseudomonadota; Gammaproteobacteria; Thiotrichales; Francisellaceae.
UGGUGAGGUAAGGGCCUACCAAGGCUACGAUCCAUAGCUGAUUUGAGAGGAUGAUCAGCCACAUUGGGACUGAGACACGGCCCAAACUCCUACGGGAGGCAGCAGUGAGGAAUAUUGGACAAUGGGGGCAACCCUGAUCCAGCAAUGCCAUGUGUGUGAAGAAGGCCUUAGGGUUGUAAAGCACUUUAGUUGGGGAAGAAAGCUUUGAGGUUAAUAGCCUUGAGGAAAAGGACGUUACCCAAAGAAUAAGCACCGGCUAACUCCGUGCCAGCAGCCGCGGUAAUACGGGGGGUGCAAGCGUUAAUCGGAAUUACUGGGCGUAAAGGGUCUGUAGGUGGUUUGUUAAGUCAGAUGUGAAAGCCUAGGGCUCAACCUUGGAACUGCAUUUGAUACUGGUAAACUAGAGUACGGUAGAGGAAUGGGGAAUUUCUGGUGUAGCGGUGAAAUGCGUAGAGAUCAGAAGGAACACCAAUGGCGAAGGCAACAUUCUGGACCGAUACUGACACUGAGGGACGAAAGCGUGGGGAUCAAACAGGAUUAGAUACCCUGGUAGUCCACGCUGUAAACGAUGAGUACUAGCUGUUGGAGUCGGUGUAAAGGCUCUAGUGGCGCAGCUAACGCGAUAAGUACUCCGCCUGGGGACUACGGCCGCAAGGCUAAAACUCAAAGGAAUUGACGGGGACCCGCACAAGCGGUGGAGCAUGUGGUUUAAUUCGAUGCAACGC